GAAAUGCGAUAAGUAGUGUGAAUUGCAGAAUUCAGUGAAUCAUCGAAUCUUUGAACGCACAUUGCGCCCUUUGGUAUUCCAAAGGGCAUGCCUGUUCGAGCGUCAUUUGUACCCUCAAGCUGUGGUUGGUGUUGGGCGUCUUGUCUCCAGUUCGCUGGGGACUCGCCUUAAAGUUAUUGGCAGCCGGCCUACUGGUUUCGGAGCGCAGCACAAGUCGCGCUCUCUUCCAGCCAAGGUCAGCAUCCACAAAGCCUUUUUUCAACUUUUGACCUCGGAUCAGGUAGGGAUACCCGCUGAACUUAAGC
RNAcentral lists this unclassified non-coding RNA (305 nucleotides) under plant metagenome. RNAcentral describes it as "partial contains 5.8S ribosomal RNA, internal transcribed spacer 2, and large subunit ribosomal RNA". The stretch from base 1 to 105 matches the Rfam family "5.8S ribosomal RNA", at positions 50 to 154 of the family's 154-position model. The record is from RNAcentral.